AGCGAACGUUAGCGGCGCGCCUAACACAUGCAAGUCGCACGAGAAAGGGCUUCGGCCCCGGUAAAGUGGCGCACGGGUGAGUAACACGUGGGUAAUCUUCCUCCGAGCGGGGGAUAACAUUCCGAAGGAGUGCUAAUACCGCAUAAGACCACGGAGUCGAAAGACACUGAGGUAAAAGACUGGCCUCUUCACGAAAGACUAGCACUUGGAGAUGAGCCCGCGGCCCA
Molecule: ribosomal RNA, 227 nt
Filed under: uncultured bacterium
Lineage: Bacteria
Description: partial 16S ribosomal RNA
Rfam family: Bacterial small subunit ribosomal RNA
Source: RNAcentral